UACUAGAGUAGCACUCGCAUAUCAAUAAGCGGAGGAAAAGAAACUAACAAGGAUUCCCCUAGUAACGGCGAGUGAAGCGGGAAGAGCUCAAAUUUGAAAUCUUAAAGGGUUUCCCUUUACGAAUUGUAGUUUAAAGAAGUGUUUUCUGUUGAGGUUUUGGUAAAAGUUCUUUGGAAUAGGACAUCAUAGAGGGUGAGAAUCCCGUAUUUGACCUUUACUUUCAACUUUGUGAUACACUUUCAAAGAGUCGGAUUGUUUGGGAAUGCAGUCCAAAAUGGGUGGUAAAUUUCAUCUAAAGCUAAAUAUUGGCGAGAGACCGAUAGCGAACAAGUACCGUGAGGGAAAGAUGAAAAGAACUUUGAAAAGAGAGUUAAACAGUACGUGAAAUUGUCAAAAGGGAAGCGUUUGACACCAGUGUUGUUUUUCUGAAAAUCAAUUAAAGAACUGUUUAUGCUAAGCUGUUUAGACUUUAUCAGCUAUCUGCUUAGUUUUGAGCUUUUCUUUAAUGCACUUUUCAGGUUAACAAGUCAACAUCAAUUUCUUUUGCUGUAAAAAAGCCUGAGGAAGGUGGCUUGAGAUUCGUCUUAAGUGUUUAUAGCCUCUUGCCUAUGCAGUCGGAGAGAUUGAGGUCUGCAGCGUAGAUCCUUCGGGGCUAAAUGCAUUUGUGCUAAGUUAUAGCAUUUUAUAGACAACUUGUUGACUAUGAUUUGUCUUGUAGCUUACUCGCUUAUGUUAUUUUACCUACGCUUAGGAUGUUGAACUACUGAGACAUAGA
This 775-nucleotide ribosomal RNA is filed under the name uncultured Neocallimastigales. RNAcentral describes it as "partial large subunit ribosomal RNA". It matches the Rfam family "Eukaryotic large subunit ribosomal RNA", at positions 20 to 644 of the family's 3401-position model. The record is from RNAcentral. Lineage: Eukaryota; Fungi; Neocallimastigomycota; Neocallimastigomycetes; Neocallimastigales.